UUUAAAAAGAUUACUAUAAAAUUUGUAUAACUUUAAUUUCUUUUGAUAGUGGCUUUUAAGAUUGGUUUUGGUUGAUAGUAACUUCUAAAUAUUUAGAAUCACCUUUGUUAGACAUUGGUGACCUUUGAAAAUUUCUUUUGGUUCUUUUAUUUGGUGUUUAGAGCAUAAAUUAUGUAAAUCUUAUUAGAAAAAGGAUUGAAGAAGGAUUUUGGUAGCAAAGGGAGUAAUUAAGGCACCAAUAUAGAUGAAUGGAGAUGAAUAAUGAAAAUCUCUAUUCCUAUUGGUCAAAAAUCAUAACCAAUGGGAUUUGAGGAGGCUGUCCGAGGCCAUAUUAGAGUUUAGGGUUAGUUUCUCAAGGCCAUUCGAGUUUUGAAGGCUAGGGUCAGAAGGUUUAGAUUUUUGGCUAUGGUUUUGGUGCAAGUUUUGUAUGGUUUGGAGUUUAUAUGAAGGAGAUACAAGUGUUCAAAGUUAAGGUGUUGAUUUGAGAGCUAUUGUCAUUUUUUUGGCAUAACGCACGCGUAUAGAUGGCAAUUGAGGAUCGGUGACUGCGACUAGAGAGAGCACUUUUGCAGCUAUACUUUUCAUACAUUGCUUAUUGAAUUCCAAGUUAAAAUGAAGGAGUUAUUAGAUUUUGAAGUCAGUGCAUGCAAUCUAAGUGUAGUAAGUAACCCGAUUUGCUAGUGGUUGUCUCUUGACCUAUGUCUU
This 705-nucleotide long non-coding RNA is filed under the name Physcomitrium patens. Its description in RNAcentral is "long non-coding RNA (PPAT_LNC008121)". Lineage: Eukaryota; Viridiplantae; Streptophyta; Bryopsida; Funariales; Funariaceae. The record is from RNAcentral.